Molecule: ribosomal RNA, 242 nt
Filed under: uncultured bacterium
Lineage: Bacteria
Description: partial 16S ribosomal RNA
Rfam family: Bacterial small subunit ribosomal RNA
Source: RNAcentral
UGGACUAGAGUAUUGCAGGGGGAGACGGAAUUCCAGGUGUAGCGGUGGAAUGCGUAGAUAUCUGGAAGAACACCAAAGGCGAAGGCAGUCUCCUGGGCAAAUACUGACGCUNNUAUGCGAAAGCGUGGGUAGCAAACAGGAUUAGAUACCCUGGUAGUCCACGCCGUAAACGAUGUCAAUUAGGAGCUUGGGCAAUAGUCUGGGUUCCGCAGCUAACGCAAUAAAUUGACCGCCUGGGGAGU